GUCUAGCCACACAACAAGAAAGUAGAUGCAUGAAGAUUCUGUAUGCUUCUACUAAUAUAAUAUAAAAAAGCUCGUGGGUUAAAGUAUCUUACGAAUGAACGCAGUAACACACAUACACGAAUGUAUGAAACAUUUUGUUGUUUCUCGUUUUUAAUAAAAGUUUAUUUUUAUUUGUGUUGUUAUGUUCUCCGUAUUUUUUUGUUGUUUUUUAAUUGUUUGAAAAAGAGUAAAAAGAGAAUUAUGAAAUCGAAACGUGCUCAAAAACCGCAAUGUGUAUUGCGUAUGCAAAUUGUACGGUAAAUUACUCGGAAAGUUGUUGCUUCGCGGCUGUGAAAGUUAAAACUUUUAUUGUAAAAGUAACGAGUAACAUUGCAGACGAGUAACGAGUAUUUUCUGUUUAUUUAUUUAAAUAUAUUUCAAAUUUUUAUACUCUCGCAAGAAAAGUUGCUAAAGAGAGUAUUAUAGUUUUGUCCACAUAACGGUUGUUUGUAGCACCCAAAACUAAACGAGUUAGAUAUAGGGUUAUAUAUACCAAAGUGAUCAGGGUGACGAGUAAAGUCCGUCCGUGCAAGCUGUAACUUGAGUAAAAAUUGAGACAUCUUAAUGAAACUUGGAACACGUAUUCCUUGGCACCAUAAGAAGGUUAAGUUCGAAAAUGGGCGGAAUCGGACCACUGCCAUGCCCACAAAAUGGCGAUAACCGAAAACACAUAAAGAGCUAUAACUAAUCCAUAAAUUAAGCUAUGAAAGCAAAAUUUGGUACAAACGAUUGUUCUAGGAAGGGGCAUAUUUAAAUGUAAUUUUUUUGAGAAAGUGGGCGUGGCCCCGCCCCCUACCAAAUUUUUUGUACAUAUCUCGUAAACUACUAAAACUAUAUAAACGAAACUCUCAGGAGUGAUUUUUCAGGUAUUUCCUUAUAUCGACCAAAAAUGGAGGAAAUCGGAUAGUAACCACGCAGACCUCCCAUACAAAGGUAAUGUUUAAAACUACUAAAAAUGCUUUAAUUCAGUAAGGAAAACCAACAGAAACCUUAAAUUUCAUUAUAAAGAAGGUACAGAAGAGCUGCACUCAAAAUGAUAAAUAUAUAUAUUUGGCGUAGGAACCGCUUUCAGCGAUUAUAGCCGAAUCCACCAGAGCGCGCCACUCAUUCCUCCUUUUUUGCUUUUUGGCGCCAACUGGAAACACCAAGUGAAGCCAGGUCACUUUGCACUUGGUCUUUCCACCGGUGUGGAGGUCGUCCUCUUCCGCGGCUUCCUCCAGCGGGUACUGCAUCGAAUACUUUCAGAGCUGGAGUGUUUUCUUCCAUCCGUACAACAUGACCUAGCCAGCGUAGCCGCUGUCUUUUUAUUCGCUGAACUAUGUCAAUGUCGUCGUAUAAAUCGUACAGCUCAUCGUUCCAUCGUCUGCGGUAUUCGCCGUUGCCAAUGUUUAGAGGACCAUAAAUCUUGCGCAAAACCUUUCUCUCGAAAACCCAAGAGUCGUCUCAUCGGAUGUUGUCAUUGUCCACGCUUCAGCGCCAUACAUCAGGACGGGAAUAAUGAGCGACUUAUAGAGUUUGAUUUUGGUUCGUCGAGAGAGGACUUUUCUUUUCAAUUGCCUACUCAGUCCAAAGUAGCACCUGUUGGCAAGAGUGAUUCUGCGUUGGAUUUCAAGGCUGACAUUGUUGGUGUUGUUAAUGCUGGUUCCCAGAUAAACGAAAUUAUCUACAACUUCAAAGUUAUGACUGUCAACAGUGACGUGGGAGCCAAGAAGCGAGUGCGCUGACUGUUUGUUUGAUGACAGGAGAUAUUUCGUCUUGUCCUCAUUCACCACCAGACCCAUACGCUUCGCUUCUUUAUCUAGUCUGGAAAACGCAGAACAAACGGCGCGGUUGUUGCUUCCGAUGAUAUCAAUAUCAUCGGCAUACGCAUACUGUACACUCUUGUAGAAGAUUGAUAUAUAGAAGAAAUGAUAUACAAAAUUUUAAAUGGGCGUGGUCCCGCCUACUUAUGGGUCAAAAAUCAUAUCUCCGAAACUACUUGAUCAAUUUCAAUGAAAUUCGGUUUGUAAUAUUUUCCUUGCAUCCCAAUAAUAAGUUGUGAAAAUAGGCCAAAUCGGUUCACAACCACGCCUGCUUACUAUACACCAGAACUUUGAAGACGAUCUGAAUCGUUUUCUUUACAAUAUGUAGGGUAAGCACUAGUGAAGAAAUCGGAACAGAACUUUGCACAAAUACUAUAUUUAUAGUGCGGCAUCGCCCUUCUAAAAAUCGUCGAAAUCGGACCAUACAUUUUCAAGGCCCCAUAUAUCGAACAAGAGGACCUCAGGGGUUCUUGUUUUUUUUUAUCGGAAAUAUAAUUAAGUCUCUCAGAUAUUUUGAAGAAAUUCGGAGGAAAUAUGUUUUUUUUUUAAAUAAUAUGUCUCCGUGCCUAAAAUACGUGAAAUCGGUUUAUAACUUCACCUAACUCCCACAUACAUAAUAUUAGGGUUUCCAACUUUCAAUGGACUUUAUGUGGGUCAAAUUGUGUGUAAUAUUAAUGAAAUUAAAUAAAUAAAUUUCGAGAGUAUAAAAUGUUCGGUUACACCCGAACUUAGUCCUUCCUUAUUUGUUGAUAUUAAAUUUAUACAUAUUAUAUAUCUAACAACAGAUACAAUAUGACGGGUAAAAAAAAUUAAAUAAAAUAAUAUUAGGGAUUUCAUUUAAAUUAUAACUUACAAGGAUAAACAGUCGAGGAGGCCCUAAAUAUAUUUUCGUUUUUUUUUAACAGAACAACAUUUUUAGAAACUAUGCAACGUAUUUCCAUGGGAACUGGUCACAUUCUUCAAUUUGAUUUUUCUUUACAAUCACAUGCAUUCUUUCAUUGCUAGUGCAUUUCAUCUCCAACUAGUAACGAUAUAACGGCAUAUUUCAAUACUACAAAUAUGCCAUGAAUAAUGUUAUAUCAUUGUGCAUUCAAAUCGCAGGCGCAUGUGAAAGGCUUCGAGCAUGCAAUAUCGGCGAGCAAACAGCUAACAAACGCCAACAAUCUAGAGUAAUCUACAUCGCCGGCAUAUCAUUCAUAUGCAACGUGCAUUUCAUGCAUCAAAACUCCGUUACAGUUGCGAGAGUGCAUAGCAAAAAGGGUAGUAUGCAAUCGUUUUCACCGCGUUCUACAAUUCCACGCGCUGCUGCGUUUCCGUUGCAUAGGCGCAGGCGUUUGCUAUUUGUAAAUGCCACUCAUUCUUGCACGCCCGCCAUAAAUCGACUUACAAACUGGCGUAUAAAAAGCGUUUUGCAAUCUCGCAGCUAGCAAAAAACACAAAUACCUUUGCAAAUCAGCAAUCGAAAACAUGGCUGUUUGAAUUCGUUUUGUUUUUUUGUUUUUGCGCAGCUUCCGCACUGGCUUCUGCAAGUUCGCCUCGUUUUGUCAUGUUCGGCGUGCUGUGCAAAUUCAUAGAAUGCACAUAUGUGCGCCGUAAUGUAUGCCAUGAAACAUGUGUUUCUGUCAGUGGAUUUGCUUUCCGGCAAAAGUAGUAUUUGCCAGGCGUGUAUCUUCUUGUGUAUGAUAAAUUUGCUAUUCAAUUAGAAUGCUUUGUUUUGCAAAGCGUUCUUCCUCUACUCGCGCAUAGCCUCACUGUUACUUUCGAAAUUUCUGAAUUCCCGGUUUUUGGUAGCAAAUUUACGAGCGUCAAAUAGUGAAAAUACAUAAUAUGUAUUAUACGCUUAUUUACAGUUAUGAUAUAUGAUAUCCUUAUAUUUUGUACUAUUCGUAACGAAAUGCAUUGAACGUCCAUAUACAGUGCUGGUCAUAUAAAUUUUAUUGAGUAUAAGCAAAGAAAACCAGCUGCGAGAGUAAAUUGUAGGCUAGGCGAUUAAGUUAAUUGUGAUUUCGUGAGAGUGAAAGAGAGCGAGCUACUAUGGGAGAAGCAAUACAGUUGUUAAGAUGCUUUUUGACGCACAAACAACCUAACAACUGUGCCUGCAGCCUUCCUAAGUGGCUUUAGAGCAACUUAUUCGUAGAGAAAAAGAACAUAGAUGUACCACAGUCACCGAACAUGCAAUACAGCAACAGCACUAUUAUUGAGACAACUUCUCAACUGACUUUGUCGACUAACUGUGCACAAGAAUAGCUUACAUAUAAGUGUAGAUACAGUGCUUGCAAAUAAAUAAAAAGUAAGGUACACGUAGUGGUAAGCAAAAUUUUACCUGAACGCUUCAAAAACAUGUGGCUCACAACACAACGCACAACGGAUUGUAUUGUAAGAGGCUGUAGUUCAGCUCCAUCAAUUUACAUAUAUACAUAUAUGUCGUUGUGUACCAGUGCUGGCUUGGCAACUGCAUUUUAGGCUUAAAAGAAAUAUAAAAACCAAAACUAAAACUGUAUUUUUUAACGUCGCUCCCACAUUUCUCCAAUAAAAAAAUAAGAAUGUUGGCUCUUAAGUAAAUUGGCUGUAUGAUUGAGUGGCUGCCGGUUCAUGUUGUUAUUUGUUGUUUGUUUGCUGCCGGAAGUGGCUAAAGUUUUAAGAGGAUUACGCAGAACAAUGUCAUAUUCAUGCGAACUAAUACUUUAUAGGGACUUCAUGAUGGUGAUGAUGAUGCAAAAAGCCUUCACUAAUUGUUGUAAAGGAAUUGACCGGAGCUAAAUUUCCUUACGGUAGUUUUAAGUGAUACUCGAAUUUGUAUUUUGUAAGUGGAAAAAACUGACGAGAUGCAGUGUGAUGUUUUUCACUAUUAAGUACUUAGCAGUGAAGGUAACCGUUUUAUGCCGAUAAUGCCAAUAUAUCCGUCAAUAUGAACUGUGCUUGCUACAAAGCUUAAAUAUUUUUCCAGCUCUGUCACUUUAUUACAGCCGUUUGUCAUGAGCGAAUUACUUGGCAGUCUGCAUCUCACAUGUCCAGCCAACAGACAAAAAGAAGAAUAUGUGACGCAUACGCUUACUAUUAAUAAGAAUAAUAUUUUGUUUUUGCAGAGGUGUACAUAUGUAUUUGUAUAAAUAUUUGCAUGUCAACUUGAAUUUUCGAUUCUCACAUUUAUAUACAUAUGUAAGUGGGGAUCAUGCGCUUGCUGGUUAAAACUGCGGGUGUUUUCUGUCACCUCUUUUCUUCUGUAUGUUGUCGUAGUUGCUGUUGUUGUAUGUACACAUUGUCUGUCGCAUUACUUUUGUGAAAUUCCAAUUCGAUGGCACAUGCGGCUUGUAGGCAGCUGUUUAAUGCACGGCUGGAGUUAUUGGCGGCCAUUUAUGCAUCAUUUCCGCUGUGCGCUCGAUUUUUUGCUCCUCCUAUUGUUUAAAUGCCAACAACACUUGCAAGCGAAUGUAUGACUGUGGUCUGCUGUGUCUUCACGGUUGCACGUAAGCGGCUGAUUGCAGCUGAGUUGUGGCGCACACACACAUACAUACAUGCAAAUGAAUGGCCUGACACCGGCAGUUGCAUAUAAUUCGCUCGCCUUUUUGCGCAUAUGUUUGCAUGGCAUGGCAUAAAUUAUUCGCCAUUCGCGGUUGCCGUGCGUGCUGUCGGUGCGAGUUGUUGUCUGCAUGCGUUGCUACGUGUGCGUAAGCUCAAAAGCUCGAAAGCGGAAAGCUGACAUUAACAUAUAACAUAAAGUCUUUGUAUCAUAUAUAUUUAUAUAAAUGUGUUGAUGCGCAGAAUACUCAGCACGCAAUUGUCAAUAUGUAAGCUGAUGGCACAGCCGUAAACCGGCCGCUUAUAUGCGCGUGCGCUCGUAUUGUCACGGAAAUUUAUGUUAAUGCAGCGUAGAUUUUAUGGCCAACACCAUUGGCCGCAUUAUCGUAAAUAAAGUAGCACUUUUGUUGCUGUAAUCUUAUAUUUACACGCAAGCUUACACGCAAUUACAUGUGAGCUUUCACCGGAAAUGUGUGGGUGAUAGUAUUUUGGAGCAAUUUUUGGAGCAAUUGAUGCCGUAUAUAAUAUGCAAUAAAUUCUGUACCGUUGUUAGUGUUUUCAUUAUGAAAUGGCAAAUCAAACUCAAUAUAAAUCAAGUAACAGCUGUCAAAAAGACCAAAUUCGAAAAAAGAAAACUGAAAAUUCUUCUUCUUCUUGACUGGCGUAGACACCGCUUACGCGGUUAUAGCCGAGUCCAAAACAGCGCGCCACGUAUCCCUGCUUCUGGCAGUUUGGCGCCAAUUGGUUAUACCAAGCGAAGCCAGGUCCCUCUCCACCUGGUGCUUCCAUCGGAGUGGAGGUCUCCCUCUUCCUCGGUUUCCACCAGCGGGUACUGCAUCGAAUACUUUCAGAGCUGGAGCACUUUCAUCCAUUCGAACAACAUGACCUAGCCAGCGUAGCCGCUGUUUUUUUUAUUCGCUGGACUAUGUCUAUGUCGUCGAAUAACACAUACAGCUCAUCGUUCUAUCGUAUGCGGUAUUCGCCGUUGCCAAUGUUUAAGGGACCAUAAAUCUUCCGCAAAACCUUUCUCUCGAAAACUCCUAGUGCCGUCUCGUCGGAUGUUGACAUCGUCCACGCUUCUGCACCGUAAAGUAGGACGGGAAUGAUGAGAGACUUGUAGAGUUUGGUUUCUGUUCGUCGAAAGAGGACUUUACUUUUCAAUUGCCUACUUAGUCCAAAGUAGCACCUGUUGGCAAGAGUGAUUCUGCGUUGGAUUUCCAGGCUGACAUUGUUAUUGCUGUUAAUGCUGGUUCCCAGGUGGACGAAAUUAUCUACAACUUCAAAGUUAUGACUGUCAACAGUGACAUGGGAGCCAAGACGCGAAUGCGCUGACUGUUUGUUUGACGACAGGAGAUAUUUCGUAUUGUCCUCGUUCACCACCAGACCCAUACGCUUCGCUUCCUUAUCCAGUCUGGAAAAAGCAGAACUAACGGCGCGGGUGUUGUUUCCAAUGAUAUCGAUAUCAUCGGCGUACGCCAGGAGCUGUAAACUCUUAUAGAAGAUUGUACCUUCUCUAUUUAGCCCUGCAGCUCGUAUUAUUUUCUCCAGCAUCAGGUUAAAGAAAUCACACGAGAGUGAGUCACCUUGUCUGAAACCUCGUCUGGUAUCGAACGGCUCGGAGAGGUCCUUCCUGAUCCUGACGGAGCUGAAAAAAACUGCACGUCGAAAAAAAGCAACCGUUAAAAUCCUCAGGCAACUCAAAACUUCAGAUCUUGUUCUGUUUCAUAGUGAAUAUGUUUGAUAUCAUAUUAAUUGUACUGUCUGAUCAAAUACAGUAGAACUUCCAUUACUCAAACUUCAAUAACUCGAAGUUCUCCAUAACUCGAACUCUUAAAUUGGCUAUAGAGGUCAAGUUUCUUACAAAUUUCCUUCCAUAAAUCUAACUUUUCGAUCAGGACAUAAUACAAAAUUUAAAAUAUGCCGAUCAAGGAACAAUUUUAAAGGAGUCCCUCCCCAUAUUCGUAUGGAGGCGAACAAAAAAUAUGAUAUUACACUAAUGGAUUUCAUAAAUCCUGUAACAAAGACAUGGGAUACAUACGUCAAGAGCUAAACAAUAGCAAAGUGCAACAAACAAAAUUACAGAAUACAUGCUAUAAUGUAUUUAAAUAAAACUAUUUGCGAAGUCAAUAACUAAAACUGUGGUUAAUCUAAAUAUAUUUUACAACUUUUUGAAAAAUGUAUAUUUUAAUUAUUUAAAUUUAUAUAACUCGAGGUCUCUCUAACUCGAAGAUUUUUUGUUUGGAUUAGGAUGAUUCGGGUUAUAUUAUAAUAUGCAUUAUGGCAACUUUUUAUAGAAAUUUUAUAGCAAAAUUUAAUAGAAUUGCAAUAAAUUUUAUUUUUCUUUAAAAUGCAAUAUUUUAACUUUUUAUAAAAAAUUAUAAUUAUUUUCUCGCUUCAAAGCAUCUAAAAUCGUCUAUAGGUGCUAGGGAAAAAGUUUUUUCCUUUACAAGUAAUUGCUUAAUAUGAGAACCAAUAAAUUUUUUGCACUAUAUACGCACACUAUAUCUUUUAAUCUGAAUCUCCAUCAAAUGAAUAACAUUUGUUCUCGUUCCUCAACGAGCAAACGGCUUGCUUUACAGCAAACGCCCACACAGUCCAAUUUGCCCAAAUUCGUUGAAUUUUUGAUUACGAAUUUAUAAACCGUUGCGCACAACAGUCAGCAUCCAGAAAACCACUAGAAGAUGUGAAUGCACGCGAAAUUUCAUCGCUUCUUUCCGCUAGCGCUACGUCAAAAAUAUUCAUACGCCUGGUCAAGCAGAAAGCCAUUUUUUUAUUUUUAUUUUUUCUGGGUUGAGCACGAAAAAGUUAAAAUUAAACAGAUUUUCGCUUUAAAGUGUUGCAGGGCGAAUGCAAAAAAAUAGUGAAGCGGAAAUAAAGAAAUUAUUCGAAAAUGAAAAUUGCCGCAGAAUCAUUAACAACGCAUGCUCGAUUGCUGACGCAUUCACCGGCUGGGUUGUCACCUACAAUAUUUAUAGCACUGUUACUAUGGAAUAAUGUACAUAUGUAUGUACUUACUAGCGCCGCAGCAGUGGCUGCCAUGCCAUGCUGACGUUUGAGCUUUUAAUGGCACAGCAGCAUUUUAAAGUCAUUAGCAUCAUUUGAUCAUAAAUUUAAAACGGAUACUUUGCCACAGUGAAGCGUCAAAUUUUAACGCUACAAACACAUACAUGCACAUAGCAUGAGUAUUUGUGGUAGUAAUGAAGGGAAUUGUGUGCGUGAGUGCGACGUUGUGGCUGUCAUGCAAUGCAUGCUCAACACCUUUUGCACCAAAUUUGCGUGUGGCUGUGUAUGUAAACUGCACUUUAAUGCCGCCUAAAGGCAUACUACAUACCCGCGAACACUCGUUUUCAACUUUACCAUUUUGUGUCACUACAUACACACACACACACGAGUUGACGCCACAACGCGCUCUAUUGCUUCGCAUACCUGCCGCUCAAUGAGCGGAAAUCGCGACAUUUUACAGAAAAUGCAGUUAAAAAGUUUGCACAAAAUGCUUUAUAUAUAACCCCCGCUUACUAUUUUUCCCCUACACACUGCACUGUCAGUGGGUUGUCUUCAACGUGGCUGUACGGCACUUGUGUGAGUUGGUAUUUGCUUGUCGCAUUCCGUUCGCUGCGUCGCUACAGCAGCUAUGCAGGCGCGCUUGGUGCUCGUGAAUCUUGCACUGAGAAUUUCUUAGCAUAACUUUAGGCGCCACUUUAAGCAUUGACUCCAGCAGCAAUUCACCUUAGCCUGCAAUAGAACGACAUCGCAAUUACAUAUUCACCAAAACACAUUUCCCCCAAUAUUCCAGUGAGAAAUAUAAUAUUUUAUGAAUUUUAAGAAAAUCAUUGCAAAAUUACAUUACAGUUAACUCGAGUUUAUUAUCAAACACAAAAUCUCUGCUUUAUUUUAACAUUGAAAAAACUCUCAUCAACAUUUUUUAUAAAUGUAAGCAACAUCUUUACAAAAAAUUUUAGCCUCUAGCUCUCUGUAGCAACAUUUGCAGAACGAUAAGUCAUACAUGUUUAUUUAUGCCUACAUUUUUUUUUUGCAAUUCAGAGUAAAGUAUUUCAUCGUCAUUUUACAGGAACUGACCAAAUCUCCUAUAUAACCAAUAUAUCGAUACUAAAAUUAUUUAAGAAAUAUUUAAAGUGUUCACCAUUUUUCCUGUUGGAUGGACGAACUUUUCGCAUAAUCUAAUUUCGCAUAAUGUACAUAUACAGCCUUGGCAAAAAGUAUUAGGCACCCCAUUAAAAUACAAGUAUUCUCAAAUGUGGCUAUCAAACUUUACCACUUCUUUUUGUAAAUGUCUUACAUGGGUGUUUAACUGUUGAUUAAACGAAUAACGAAUUAAAACGAAACGAAUAAAAAAAAAAAAAAUUAAGCUAAAACUAAAAAUUGUCCUUUUUAAGAAAUUCAUAAAAUAUUUUAUAAUAUUUUUUUCUUAUUUUUAUUUUUUUUUUUAAUGUUAUUAUCACUAAUACAUUGUAUUUUCACUGUUUUACUAAUAAAACUUCAUUAUUUCACUUGCUAAAACAAAAAAUUCAGUAAUUAAUGGGGUGCCUAAUACUUUUGGCCAAGGCUGUACAUGUGUGUUCAAAAAAUAACGGGAAUUUUUGUGUUUUUCAAAAAAUAUUAUUUCAUUUUUCUACAUUAAUGUUGUCACCUUCACCCUAUAUUAAGCACUCCUGCUAUCAACAUUAAAAAAAAUAAAUAAAAAUAAAUUUAUUAGCGGACUUUUGGAAGAAUUCCCGCUAUUUUUUGAACACACCUCGUAUAUAUGUGUAUUUAGUUUGCAUUACGAUAGCAACUGUUUUGCAUAUGUUCGGUGGUCUCUCCGCUCUCAUGUAUAUGUUCGUGUAACGACAGCAGCGUUUUUUUCGUAUACACAUCUGCACUCAUGUGCAGCAGAAAUCCUAUAAUCCUGCGUUGAAAUUAUAAUGAGUAAAGUUUCCACGCAAGCAAGUAUUCGUAUGCAUAGUAACAGAAUUUUUUUUUUUUUUUUUUCAAAUAAUUCCCGUAUUUUGCUCACACUCAAUUUCAUUUGGCUUUUGCUGCCAGUUGCAGUUUAAUGCAACUGCAUGUAGUAUCUACAUACAUUUAGUAUGUUGUUAGUUUUGUUGUAAUGAAUAUUAUGGGAAUUGCUUUUCAGCCUUGUUGUUGUAAGCAGAUACUUUUGAGCACACACACUAAGCCAACUGCGACUGUUUGCCGCUCGGCGAACUUGUGCGUGUUUUCAAAUAUGUUUUCUAACGGAUUUGCAGCGUAAUUUAGGUUCGUAAAAGAUGGCAGUGUUUUAUUACUUCCGUAUGUUGUUAAGAAUUUUUCGAGAUUACGCGUUUAGUUUGUCCUUAGAAAUUUAUUGAAACUUGAGUUUUCGUUAUAACAAUUAAAAAGCUUUGCAGCUUUAAGCUCUCUGCACUAGACUUAUCUGAUCUUUUGGCUUUCAACACAUAUUCAGCAUAUGAGAGUGAUAGCUGAAUAAAGCGCUGAAUGCCAAGGCGAUUGAAACGAAAUUGUCAAUAAAUUAAGCCAGACUUUAGGAAAUAGCUUUAAGAAAAAAACCUUAUCUUUUACCUGUAAUUAAAAACCGAAGUUUUAAAAAUCAUGACAAUUCUAGAAUGACUAAUAGUUCGAUGAGGGUUAUGGAUUGUCUGUUGUGCUACCUUAAGUCCUUCGUGUCACUUGAUUCGUCGUGGCAAGUUAAUGCUGUUGCAUAUGUUACGGCGCUAAGUUUAAUGCCAUUUCGUCCGCAAUCAUAAAUACGUAAAGACAUAAUACGCAAUCAUACAUACAUACAUAGAUACGCAUAUUAACAAGAAACGGCAAAAGUGUCGAGCAGCACAUCGAUUUCUGCGCCGACAGCGACAGCAAUCGCAUAAAAAAUCUGAGAAGCGCAAAUAAAAUUCUCGAGAUAUAUGCUUUCCCUCGCAUUUGAUAACGGUUUAUAUGUAUGUGUGUGUGUUUGUAAAAGCAAUUUGUUGACGAUGUAAAUUUUUGAAAGUGUGUCAUUUCCUUCGCCACCUUUUUCGCGUUGCAAGUACGCCACCAUAUUGCCGCACCGCACUCCGGAAAAGUUCUAUUUGACUUGAGCUCAUUCUCGCUUCAUUUCUUUUCAUAUGCAUAUUCGCAAUUUCAAAUGUACCUUUGCAUUUGCUUUUUAUCUCAUUGAACUUCACGAUUCAGAUUGAUUUUCUCAUCACCUUGCCAUUUUCAGUCCUUACAGACGCAUGCAUAUGUACAUGUUGCUGCUGCAAGAAGUGCCUCCUCGUGUUGAUGUUGAUAAUCUAAUGAAAUUUUGAUUUCAUUGCAAGCAAGCAUAUUUUGCAAUGUAGAGAUUCAUACAAAUCACCUUGAAAAUUCAUAGAAUCCGAGCUACAUAUAAACAUUGACAUUCUUACAUAAUGAGGUCAUAGGUCAAUUAUGAGGUUUGUGCAAUGCAGUUAGAUGAUUUUUUGUUUUUGUAAAAGUAGGCCUUUUCGAUACCCACUAUAAUGAAGUAAUUUAGGGCUGAUCAGAUAGAUAGUGAGUAUAAAGGAACCAUCCUUGUUGAUUGUCUCAUCUUUUCCAUUGCCACAGCGACAGCAUAGUUAUAGCUAAAUGAGAGGCAAGAAUACUAUGGCUUGAAAUUAAUUGUUUCAUUGUAGAUGUACUAAGGAGUUCAAUUAACUGCUAAAUUUGUUGUUAAUAUCCGGGGUUUACUUUGAGUGCCUGGUUACAAUAUCCAGCUUACAUUUUCGAUAUUUUUAACCAGCUUUGUUUAAAUUGGAUUUUUGGAGAUAAAUAAUCUCCUACCAUUUGUGUUAAUGCUCGUUUUUUCGCAAUAAAAUAUACUCAGAGAAUUUGUUAUAUUGUAUUCUCAAAAAAUCUACCCCCUUAUUUCAUUAAUUUGUCCUUUGUUCGGCGUUGUGGUUUCUGAAAACACUGAACUGCAUUCGAAUUUCUCUUAUUUGCCAUUACUGGUCUCUGAAUGCUGACUCCUCUACUUCAUUCCGUGCGUAUAUUCAUUUCUGUACUUUGAUUUUCGGCAUUGUAAGAAUCUUCGAUAAGUUAUAGUUUCCUUUUCUUACUUGCAACAUACGAGUCCUUUGUUGCUUGCUGUGUGAUUGCGACUCUGCCAAUGAGAGAAUGCGAGUAUUGCUGUCACAACACAAUACAUUUCAUUCAUUAUACUAGUGUUCAGAGUGCUCUUAUUGUUGUUAAUAAAUAUCGUAUUUUCCCUGCAACCACAUACUCGCUACGAAAUGACCUCAUGUCCUGACACCGCACUCGACAUAGCACGACAAUUGUUGCAUGGCAUUCAAUCAACUCGCAUGGAAAUCUGUUAAUCAUUGUUCUAUUAUACAAUAGUACAGUUGCAUUUCUGUUGAAAACCAGCUACUGGCAGAAGAAGCAGAAUUCAAGAAUGUGAUAGUGGAGGAGAGUGAAUAAUAUCUUCAGGUCAUCUUUAAGUAAGAAAGCUUUACACUGACUAAUUUACAUGGUCUUGUAGAACAUGAUUUACGCAUCUCUCGUAGCCUUAAGUACUGUAUGUGUGUACAAUAUAUUACAAUUUUGACAUUUCUCUAAUAGUUUUCAACUUUGAAAAUUCUCUACAUUUCCCACAAAUUGCUGCGCAAAUAUUUGCUUAGUUAAAUUCGAGUGGACCAUUGUGAAAUUGAACAAAACGAGUUCAAUUGUCCACUUUAUUUGUUUUGUUCAAACAAAUCUGUUGUAAAAAUUUGCCAAAACUUAAAUAAGUUUUUACUAAGUUCUCAAAUGUCAAUAGCAAGAAGACACAAGUCCAGUACUACACUACACUCUCACACACUCGAAAUGCCGUAAGCAAAGAAAAGUUUGAUCAACUGUCUCAUAGGAAUGUGGGUAAUUUGAAUAACUUUGCAUGCUGGCCACUUGGUUUUUGUUGACAUGAAGGGAUAUGCAACACUACAAAAAUGCACAUAUGUGAGUUAUGGUGUUUGUUAUGUACAAAUAAAACAUAUAAUAUAUAUAAAUAUAUAAUAUAUAUUUUUUGGUGAAUUAAAUUUUUCAUUAUGCUUAUAAAUUAUUCUCUUUCACAAAGAUUUUUGUGUUCUAUUUUGUAAAGUUUGAUAUACAGUGGAACUUCCAUAACUCGAACUUUUGAAGAGGCAUUAGAAGGCAACUUUCAUACAAAUUUCCUUCCAUAAAUCGAACUUUUCGACAAGGGCAUAAUACAAAACUAAAAAUUUUUCUAUCGAAGUAGAGUUUUAGAAGAGUCCCUCUAUAUCUUAUGGAGGCGAACAAAAAGUAUGAUAGUAUUACACUUCUGAAUUGCAUAAAUCAUGUCACAAAAGCAUGGAAUACAAACGUCAAGAGCCAAACAAUUGCAAACUGCAACAAACAAAAUUCAGAAUACAUGUUUUAACGUAUGAACAUAAAACUUUUUGCGAAUUAAUUAAAUAAAACUGGGUAUAAAUCUAUAUUUUAUUGCUUUUUGAAAUAUUAUAUUUUUUAAUGAAAAUUUCUAUAACUCGAAGUCUCUCUAACUCGAAGAUUUUUUGUGGAUUAUGGUGAUUCGAGUUAGAGAAGUUCCACUGUAAUUGGAUGAAGUUGAGAUUUCUCGUUUAAAAAUAAAAAUUUGUUAUUUUUAUUAAAAACUUUGGGGGAGAUAUCGUUAGUGAGGCCUCAUAAUCUUUUAAAAUUCGCGUCAGGCGCUGGCAACAUAACCGAUCACUACUACUCAGGGAAUACGUAAAUACGUAGACCAUUAUAACUGGUCUAUGCGGAGCCUUUUGGCCCACCAGGCAAACCUAACCUAACUUUAUACAAGGCACUUCUGCAGUACUAGCGCACUAAAACUAAAAGUAAUGUAAUCUAAAUAACAAAAACAAUAAAUUUUGACAAAAAAAAAAACCAAAUUUAUUGACAAUUAUUGGACUGAAACUUAAAAAUGUAGUUGGAAACAAUAUUAGAAACCAUCAUUUCAUUUCAAAGUGGCGGUCGGUAUCCCCCAUUUGUUACACCAAAUAAAGCUAAAACCCACACAAAAUUUUAAAUAUUAAUAUUAAAAAAUAAAAAAUAAAUAAAGCUUCUAGAGUUUAUUUUAAAGAAAAAAUAAAUCUGACUUUUAAAUCCACAUUUAAAACUCCUGAUAUUACACAGCAAUUGUAUUUUUAAAUAUUUGUUUAAUUUCUAACUACCGUUUGCAGACAACUUUUAUUCUGAUUUUUUUUUUUUUGCUGAGCUCUUAUAAGUUGGCUUUAUAUGUUUUAACCCUCUCAUGCCCGAAUUAAAAUGAGCGGAGCCAACAUUCUUUUUAGCACAGAUAUAUAUUAGUCUUAACUCAAAUAUGAAGUGAUAAAAAUUUCAAAGUCCUAUGUAUCAUGGUUCAUUAGUUACAGGAUGUUGCUUAUAGGCACAAAUUAAAUUAUUAUAAAUAAACUAAACACUUUUCUCAUGAAAUUUAUUUUUUAAAUAAAUCUCUUAUCUUUACUUAUUAAUAUAGUUCACUUAAGUUUUAAAAUAAAAUAAUUAUUUUUAUGUUAUUGAACAUUUUUUGUAUAACCACUUUGGUAUAACUUUUUUCGCAAAACCGAUUUUGACAAUUCCACACUGCGGAGAACGACUACUGAAUGAAUACAACUCAUACCAAAAAAUGUAACUGUAAGCUUGCAUAACACAUAAGUCUACAUAAUUUAAAAAAAAAAAAACCGUUGGUAAAAAGAUAAAUUUAAAUAACGAGAAUUAGAAGCCGAUAAGUACAAUUUUGCCUAUAGGCCACAUUGGGCAUGAAAGGGUUAAGUAAAAUUGAGCUGCAAUUGCAAGUAUUUUAUUUAUCAACGUAUAUACAUAUAUAAAUAUAUGUAUGUUGUGUCACAUUUGCACAGUUCCAAGUAAAUACACUAACAUAAGCUAUAAAGGAAACACUUGUCCAUGCAUGUGUGAAGACCAUAUUUAUGAAGAGUAAAUAAAGACUUGCAAUUCUCCUUCUGAACUCUGCAAAUAAAGCAGCAAAAGCAUGUGAAAGGUGAAAAUAUUGAAAAUGCUCGAAGCUACUAAGCGUCUUUGCUUGACACACAGUAUAUGUCUACAAUGGUCAGUGUGGUGCGCAGGAGAUUUUUAUUGUAUCACUCUCAUGGAAAAUGGCAUAUACAUGCUUUUCAAAGGAAAACGUAAACUUGUUGUGAUUCUAGGUAAAAAUAGCGAAUAAAGAGAGGUUAAAUAAAAAUCGAAGAAUUGACAAAGAGACCAAGUUAAGAAGGAUGACCAAUGGCCAUUGUUGCACUUGUCGACCGCUAAGAGCUAUCAAUACAAAUAAAUUACAAAAAUUAUAUUUACAAUACAAGAUAUAUACUGUGCCCAAAAAAUAAGGUGACAUUUGAAUUUAAACUGCGCGCUUCGGAUUUGGAGAAUUAUUUUUUUUAGGUUGGUAGUCAGUCACAUUUAUGUCAAAUUUCAUGUCAAAAUAUUCAUUAGAGUUUGAGAUACGUGUCGUUUUGUGAGCUGCUAAAAAAAGCCUUUGGUGAUGAGGCUAUGUCUAAAAAAAUGUUUACAAGUAGUAUAAAGAGUUCCAAGCCGGCCGUGAACGUGUCGAACACGAAGAGUGUCCAGGGCGACCAUCAACCUCAACCAACGAAGCUCACGUUCAACAAAUCAAAGAUUUGGUGUUGAAAAAUCGUCGAUUAACAAUUAGAGACC
Zeugodacus cucurbitae (melon fly) is the source of this 16001-nucleotide long non-coding RNA. RefSeq lists it as uncharacterized. Lineage: Eukaryota; Metazoa; Arthropoda; Insecta; Diptera; Tephritidae. The transcript is spliced from 2 exons. The record is from RefSeq and is a predicted model, not a curated record.